Salvia miltiorrhiza (redroot sage) is the source of this 644-nucleotide long non-coding RNA. RefSeq lists it as uncharacterized. The record is from RefSeq and is a predicted model, not a curated record. The transcript is spliced from 2 exons. NCBI's taxonomy places the organism in Eukaryota, Viridiplantae, Streptophyta, Magnoliopsida, Lamiales, Lamiaceae.
GACAACUAAUGCAUUGAUUGUUCUAAUAAUUAUAUUCAUCCGUAAUUUUGUUGUGAUGCGUUGAGAAAUUACUUUCUUGACACAAACUUUCUUUGUCAAAUUAAACUGAUCUGUACAAGGUCAACAAUCAACAUAGCUAUGUCGAGAAAUGCAGAUAAGGAUUAAUCCUUUCCUUUCACACUACUGAUGGAGCGUUACGAGUUAAGUGACUGAUGACGUCUCUCUCUCUCUCUCCCUCCCCUAUUAUAUUAUGUAUAUAUAUAUGUAUUGCCCAAACAUUUGUUUUCUCUCCAUAUAUUUUCACAAUGAAAACAACCCAAAUAAUCUGUCUCUCUACUCUUGUAGCUAUUUUACUGUGCUCUCAAAUUCUCUCAACCUCUGCACUUCGCAUACCAAAUCUAAACCAUGAAGAUGUAGCCAUGCAAAACCACUCUCAGGAGAUGGAUGAUGAUGUUAGAAGGGAAUCUAAUGAAGAAUUGGAUUUGGCGACAAUUGCUGAUUAUCCCCCUGUUGGGCCCAAUCCGCGUCACGAUCCUCCUCCACCACAUCGUUCUUAAAUGAAAAUGCCUAAUUUCAUGUGGAAUUUGGAAUGGAUGUAGUCGUGAUUUUGGUAAUAAAAUUUGAUGCCAUUCUAUUAUUAUAAA